CCUACGGGGGGCAGCAGUGGGGAAUAUUGCACAAUGGGGGACACCCUGAUGCAGCAACGCCGCGUGAGUGACGAAGUAUUUCGGUAUGUAAAGCUCUAUCAGCAAGGAAGCAGAAAGACGGUACCUGACUAAGAAGCGCCGGCUAAGUACGUGCCAGCAGCCGCGGUAAUACGUAGGGGGCAAGCGUUAUCCGAAUUUACUGGGUUUAAAGGGAGCGUAGACGGCUUGGCAAGGUGGAAGUGAAAGCCCGUGGCUCAACCGCGGAACUGCUUUGGCAACUGUAUAGCUUGAGUACUGGAGAGGCAGGCGGAAUUCCGAGUGUAGCGGUGAAAUGCGUAGAUAUUAGGAGGAACACCAGUGGCGAAGGCGGCCUGCUGGACAGAAACUGACGUUGAGGCUCGAAAGCGUGGGGAGCAAACAGGAUUAGAUACCCCAGUAGUC
This 441-nucleotide ribosomal RNA is filed under the name uncultured bacterium. Its description in RNAcentral is "partial 16S ribosomal RNA". It matches the Rfam family "Bacterial small subunit ribosomal RNA", at positions 338 to 795 of the family's 1533-position model. The record is from RNAcentral.